Molecule: ribosomal RNA, 319 nt
Filed under: uncultured eukaryote
Lineage: Eukaryota
Description: partial 18S ribosomal RNA
Rfam family: Eukaryotic small subunit ribosomal RNA
Source: RNAcentral
CCCUUAGAUGUUCUGGGCAGCACGCGCGCUACAAUGGUCUUCGCAAACGGAUGCAUUCUCGAAGGAGAAUGCCAAUCUUGGAAUCUAUGCCUUGGUCGGGACAGUUGCUUGCAAUUUUUCGACUCGAGCCAGGAAUUCCUUGUAAUCGUGAUUCAUCACAUCACGAUGAAUACGUCCCUGCCCUUUGUACACACCGCCCGUCGCUCCUACCGAUCGAAGAGUUAGGUGAAUUGUUUUGAUCGAUAAGGUUUGACUAUGGUCAACUCUCGUUGUGAAAUUCUGUGAAUCUGACUGUUUAGAGGAAGGAAAAGUCGUAACA